AUUGAACGCUGGCGGCAGGCCUAACACAUGCAAGUCGAGCGGUAACACAGAGGAGCUUGCUUCUUGGGUGACGAGCGGCGGACGGGUGAGUAAUGCCUGGGGAUCUGCCCAGUCGAGGGGGAUAACUACUGGAAACGGUAGCUAAUACCGCAUACGCCCUACGGGGGAAAGCAGGGGACCUUCGGGCCUUGCGCGAUUGGAUGAACCCAGGUGGGAUUAGCUAGUUGGUGAGGUAAUGGCUCACCAAGGCGACGAUCCCUAGCUGGUCUGAGAGGAUGAUCAGCCACACUGGAACUGAGACACGGUCCAGACUCCUACGGGAGCAGCAGUGGGGAAUAUUGCACAAUGGGGAAACCCUGAUGCAGCCAUGCCGCGUGUGUGAAGAAGGCCUUCGGGUUGUAAAGCACUUUCAGCGGGGAGGGAAGGGUCACGUAGUUAAUACCUAGUGGGCAUUGACGUUACUCGCAGAAGAAGCACCGGGCUAAC
RNAcentral lists this ribosomal RNA (486 nucleotides) under uncultured bacterium. RNAcentral describes it as "bacterial SSU rRNA". It matches the Rfam family "Bacterial small subunit ribosomal RNA", at positions 30 to 501 of the family's 1533-position model. The record is from RNAcentral.